RNAcentral lists this ribosomal RNA (568 nucleotides) under Peptostreptococcus stomatis. RNAcentral's name for it is "bacterial SSU rRNA". It matches the Rfam family "Bacterial small subunit ribosomal RNA", at positions 386 to 971 of the family's 1533-position model. The record is from RNAcentral. Lineage: Bacteria; Bacillati; Bacillota; Clostridia; Peptostreptococcales; Peptostreptococcaceae.
AUGCAGCAACGCCGCGUGAACGAUGAAGGUCUUCGGAUCGUAAAGUUCUGUUGCAGGGGAAGAUAAUGACGGUACCCUGUGAGGAAGCCCCGGCUAACUACGUGCCAGCAGCCGCGGUAAUACGUAGGGGGCUAGCGUUAUCCGGAUUUACUGGGCGUAAAGGGUGCGUAGGUGGUCCUUCAAGUCGGUGGUUAAAGGCUACGGCUCAACCGUAGUAAGCCGCCGAAACUGGAGGACUUGAGUGCAGGAGAGGAAAGUGGAAUUCCCAGUGUAGCGGUGAAAUGCGUAGAUAUUGGGAGGAACACCAGUAGCGAAGGCGGCUUUCUGGACUGCAACUGACACUGAGGCACGAAAAGCGUGGGUAGCAAACAGGAUUAGAUACCCUGGUAGUCCACGCUGUAAACGAUGAGUACUAGGUGUCGGGGGUUACCCCCCUCGGUGCCGCAGCUAACGCAUUAAGUACUCCGCCUGGGGGAGUACGCACGCAAGUGUGAAACUCAAAGGAAUUGACGGGGACCCGCACAAGUAGCGGAGCAUGUGGUUUAAUUCGAAGCAACGCGAAGAACCU